CACGUAAGAAUUUGCCUUUAGGAGGGGGACAACAACUGGAAACGGUUGCUAAUACCCCAUAUGCUUUCGAGUAGAAAUGGUAUUUUUCCGCCUAGAGAGAAGCUUGCGGCUGAUUAGCUUUGUUGGUGAGGUAAUGGCUCACCAAGGCGACGAUCAGUAUCUUGGUUUGAGAGGACGAUCAGACACACUGGAACUGAGACACGGUCCAGACUCCGUACGGGAGGCAGCAGUAGGGUAAUUUUCCGCAAUGGGCGAAAGCCUGACGGAGCAAUCUCGCGUGAGGGAUGACGGCCUAUGGGU
Molecule: ribosomal RNA, 300 nt
Filed under: uncultured bacterium
Lineage: Bacteria
Description: bacterial SSU rRNA
Rfam family: Bacterial small subunit ribosomal RNA
Source: RNAcentral